RNAcentral lists this transfer RNA (91 nucleotides) under Deltaproteobacteria bacterium. RNAcentral describes it as "tRNA-Ser". It matches the Rfam family "tRNA". Rfam says of the family: Transfer RNA (tRNA) molecules are approximately 80 nucleotides in length. Their secondary structure includes four short double-helical elements and three loops (D, anti-codon, and T loops). The record is from RNAcentral. Lineage: Bacteria; Pseudomonadati; Myxococcota; Myxococcia.
GGAGAGAUGGCCGAGUGGUUGAAGGCGGUGGACUCGAAAUCCACUUCAGGCGUUUCGUCUGACCGGGGUUCGAAUCCCCGUCUCUCCGCCA